GACGAACGCUGGCGGCGUGCUUAACACAUGCAAGUCGAACGGAAAGGCCCUGCUUUUGUGGGGUGCUCGAGUGGCGAACGGGUGAGUAACACGUGAGUAACCUGCCCUUGACUUUGGGAUAACUUCAGGAAACUGGGGCUAAUACCGGAUAGGAGCUCCUGCUGCAUGGUGGGGGUUGGAAAGUUUCGGCGGUUGGGGAUGGACUCGCGGCUUAUCAGCUUGUUGGUGGGGUAGUGGCUUACCAAGGCUUUGACGGGUAGCCGGCCUGAGAGGGUGACCGGCCACAUUGGGACUGAGAUAUGGCCCAGACUCCAACGGGAGGCAGCAGUGGGGAAUAUUGCACAAUGGGCGGCAGCCUGAUGCAGCAACGCCGCGUGCGGGAUGACGGCCUUCGGGUUGUAAACCGCUUUCGCCUGUGACGAAGCGUGAGUGACGGUAAUGGGUAAAGAAGCACCGGCUAACUACGUG
This 468-nucleotide ribosomal RNA is filed under the name uncultured bacterium. RNAcentral describes it as "partial 16S ribosomal RNA". It matches the Rfam family "Bacterial small subunit ribosomal RNA", at positions 28 to 507 of the family's 1533-position model. The record is from RNAcentral.